GACGAACGCUGGCGGCGUGCUUAACACAUGCAAGUCGAACGGAAAGGCCCUGCUUUUGUGGGGUGCUCGAGUGGCGAACGGGUGAGUAACACGUGAGUAACCUGCCCUUGACUUUGGGAUAACUUCAGGAAACUGGGGCUAAUACCGGAUAGGAGCUCCUGCUGCAUGGUGGGGGUUGGAAAGUUUCGGCGGUUGGGGAUGGACUCGCGGCUUAUCAGCUUGUUGGUGGGGUAGUGGCUUACCAAGGCUUUGACGGGUAGCCGGCCUGAGAGGGUGACCGGCCACAUUGGGACUGAGAUACGGCCCAGACUGCUACGGGAGGCAGCAGUGGGGAAUAUUGCACAAUGGGCGGAAGCCGGGUGCAGCAACGCCGCGUGCGGGAUGACGGCCUUCGGGUUGUAAACCGCUUUCGCCUGUGACGAAGCGUGAGUGACGGUAAUGGGGAAAGAAGCACCGGCGAACUACGU
RNAcentral lists this ribosomal RNA (467 nucleotides) under uncultured bacterium. RNAcentral's name for it is "partial 16S ribosomal RNA". It matches the Rfam family "Bacterial small subunit ribosomal RNA", at positions 28 to 506 of the family's 1533-position model. The record is from RNAcentral.